Molecule: long non-coding RNA, 319 nt
Filed under: Populus trichocarpa (black cottonwood)
Lineage: Eukaryota; Viridiplantae; Streptophyta; Magnoliopsida; Malpighiales; Salicaceae
Description: long non-coding RNA (PTRI_LNC003524)
Source: RNAcentral
AAGAGAACUCAAUAUGUUCUAUUUCUCUUCUCUCUCUAUCUGGUUCUGCUAGUGGUCGCUCACGGUGCUGCUAAUGGUGACUGGGAGGAAGCCGACGAUGGUUCAUGGUGGUUAUUGUAGUGGCGGGCAAUAUUUGCUGCAUUUUUUUUCUUCUUCUUCCCCGUGCAAGGGCACCAGCCUCUGUUUUGUUUUUCUUCCUCGUCUGCUUUUGUUUGUUCUUCUCUCUGCCAAAAAUUUCCCUUCUUUUUGGCCAUAUAACAACUAGCCUCCUCCUCCUCCUCCUCCAGCUCCGCCAUUAUGCUAAUUUAAUAGUUUUUUU